Molecule: non-coding RNA, 69 nt
Organism: Cavia porcellus (domestic guinea pig)
Lineage: Eukaryota; Metazoa; Chordata; Mammalia; Rodentia; Caviidae
Source: Ensembl
GUAAUUAUAGUUUAACAAAAACAUUAGAUUGUGAAUCUAACAAUAGAAGAUUAACCCUUCUUAUUUACC